This 344-nucleotide unclassified non-coding RNA is filed under the name uncultured Russula. Its description in RNAcentral is "sequence contains ITS2". Lineage: Eukaryota; Fungi; Basidiomycota; Agaricomycetes; Russulales; Russulaceae. The record is from RNAcentral.
AACGCACCUUGCGCCCCUUGGCAUUCCGAGGGGCACACCCGUUUGAGUGUCGUGAAAUUCUCAAAAUCCUUUUCUUUGAUCGGAAUAGGACUUUUGGACUUGGAGGUUCAAUGCUCGCUUUCGCCUUUGAAAGCGAGCUCCUCUCAAAUGAAUCAGUGGGGUCCGCUUUGCUGGUCCUUGACGUGAUAAGAUGCUUCUACGUUUUGGAUUUGGCAUUGUUUUCUCCGCUCCUAACCGUCCCAUGGGACAACGAUGGUGCUUCGGUCGUCGCCAUUCAUGGCGGGAGGGCUGAACCCACAAAGAACCUUGACCUCAAAUCGGGUGAGACUACCCGCUGAACUUAA